UACAGAGGUCCCAAGCGUUGUUCGGAUUCACUGGGCGUAAAGGGUGCGUAGGCGGUCAAAAAAGUCUGGUGUGAAAUCUUCGAGCUUAACUCGGAAACUGCAUUGGAUACUAUUUGGCUUGAGGAAUGGAGGGGAGACUGGAAUGCUCGGUGUAGCAGUGAAAUGCGUAGAUAUCGAGCGGAACACCAGUGGCGAAGGCGAGUCUCUGGACAUUUCCUGACGCUGAGGCACGAAAGCCAGGGGAGCAAACGGG
Molecule: ribosomal RNA, 253 nt
Filed under: uncultured bacterium
Lineage: Bacteria
Description: partial 16S ribosomal RNA
Rfam family: Bacterial small subunit ribosomal RNA
Source: RNAcentral